CCAGUUGAGAAACUUAACAAACACUACUCUGAAAAUGAUAGAUACCACCGUUAUGUUUCCAAACCAAUCCAAUUUUGAAUGACAAUUACAUCUGAUUGGAUAAAAAACAAGGAAGAAUAAAAGUUCCAUCUCCCAUCUCAAAAAAUAACAUAUCCUCUUAAUAUCAAUGAGCCCUAUAUUUGCACAAGUUCCCAUGUUGAUGCUCCAUUUCUCAUUGCAUGCAAGAAAAGAAUUACAAAAAGAGAAUAUAUCCUAAGGUAAAUGUGCAUUACUGAGAAAAGCUUCAUGCAUCUUCUAGCUUUAUGUUUCAUCUUCUUCCAAAAGGCUUGACGAUUUUCACUUUAGACUCCCUUGUUUAAGAUGAUAAGCCUUUUAACACAUAUUGACGAUCUGCAGCAAGCCACACGCAUGAGCAUGCACAUAACCCUACAUAUCCCAUGGCAACAAAUGUUCAUAACUUCGCAUGGUUUGGUCCAGCAAUACCAUGGUUAGUGCAUUAUAAUAUUGUAAAGCAUACAAAGUAUCCAUUCAGUUUAAACACUAAACAUUAACUACAGCUCAUCUUCAUUUCACAAGGAAAACAAGGAGACGAGAACUGACCCCAAUCCUCCAUCUUCACCGUAAAAUUUCAUGCAUUAUUUCAUGAACCAAAAUUUCAAAAUCACUUGAGCUGCUGCACAACAAGGUGAGGUCCUGCAAGCCCAGUGAGAUAUGAAAAGCCAUUAGUUAAUAUUAAUGAAAAGUUCAAGUUAUACUUGUGUCUAUUUGAAGCAGUCAUUCCAAGAGCAUUAACAAGAUAUUUGGUCAUGAUUUAUAGUUUUGUCUUUUUUUCCCUUUCUGAUCCGUUUUUUAAAUGAGUAAAGUGCGUGUUUUCUUCAUGUUUGAAGUAUCAAAGAACUAUGCACAAAAAAUAACUGCACCAAAUCUACAACAUAAUGCCCAAAAGUAGACCAACAUUCUGAUACUAAAAGUGAUCAAAUGAAGGCUCCCCCCCCAUUAGAUGCUCGCAUUAGUAUUCCACUAAUUGCAUUUUCA
Molecule: long non-coding RNA, 1035 nt
Filed under: Amborella trichopoda
Lineage: Eukaryota; Viridiplantae; Streptophyta; Magnoliopsida; Amborellales; Amborellaceae
Description: long non-coding RNA (ATRI_LNC001970)
Source: RNAcentral